Molecule: unclassified non-coding RNA, 93 nt
Filed under: Sorangium cellulosum So ce56
Lineage: Bacteria; Pseudomonadati; Myxococcota; Polyangiales; Polyangiaceae
Source: RNAcentral
GUCGAGCGAUGUCUCGAGCCCUCUGAAGAUCCCCAGCGCCUCGCGUCACCCGAUGCCGAGUCGACAUCGACUGGCACCAGAAACGAUGAACCG